This 104-nucleotide microRNA precursor is filed under the name Pelobates cultripes (western spadefoot toad). The record is from RNAcentral. Lineage: Eukaryota; Metazoa; Chordata; Amphibia; Anura; Pelobatidae.
UAUUUCAAUAAAUUAAACCAAGGAUGGCUAGGGCUGCACCCUAUAAUAUAUCCAUGUUCAGGUGAGUGCAGCCCUAGCCAUCCUUGGUUUAAUUUAUUUAUAUU